CCUACGGGAGGCUGCAGUGAGGAAUAUUGGUCAAUGGACGAGAGUCUGAACCAGCCAAGUAGCGUGAAGGAUGACUGCCCUAUGGGUUGUAAACUUCUUUUAUAUGGGAAUAAAAUGUUCCACGUGUGGGAUUUUGUAUGUACCAUAUGAAUAAGGAUCGGCUAACUCCGUGCCAGCAGCCGCGGUAAUACGGAGGAUCCGAUCGUUAUCCGGAUUUAUUGGGUUUAAAGGGAGCGUAGGUGGAUUGUUAAGUCAGUUGUGAAAGUUUGCGGCUCAACCGUAAAAUUGCAGUUGAAACUGGCAGUCUUGAGUACAGUAGAGGUGGGCGGAAUUCGUGUUGUAGCGGUGAAAUGCUUAGAUAUCACGAAGAACUCCGAUUGCGAAGGCAGUUCACUGGACUGCAACUGACACUGAGGCUCGAAAGUGUGGGUAUCAAACAGGAUUAGAUACCCGGGUAGUC
This 460-nucleotide ribosomal RNA is filed under the name uncultured bacterium. RNAcentral's name for it is "partial 16S ribosomal RNA". It matches the Rfam family "Bacterial small subunit ribosomal RNA", at positions 338 to 795 of the family's 1533-position model. The record is from RNAcentral.